This 253-nucleotide ribosomal RNA is filed under the name uncultured bacterium. Its description in RNAcentral is "partial 16S ribosomal RNA". It matches the Rfam family "Bacterial small subunit ribosomal RNA", at positions 524 to 776 of the family's 1533-position model. The record is from RNAcentral.
UACGUAGGGUGCGAGCGUUAAUCGGAAUUACUGGGCGUAAAGCGUGCGUAGGCGGUCCGCGAAGUCUGAUGUGAAAGCCCCGGGCUUAACCUGGGAAUGGCGGUUGAAACUAGUCGACUCGAAUCUGGCAGAGGGGGGUGGAAUUCCACGUGUAGCAGUGAAAUGCGUAGAGAUGUGGAGGAACACCGAUGGCGAAGGCAGCCCCCUGGGCUGAGAUUGACGCUCAGGCACGAAAGCGUGGGGAGCAAACAGG